AUUGAACGCUGGCGGAAUGCUUUACACAUGCAAGUCGAACGGCAGCACGGACUUCGGUCUGGUGGCGAGUGGCGAACGGGUGAGUAAUGUAUCGGAACGUGCCCAGUCGUGGGGGAUAUCGUAGUGAAAAUUACGCUAAUACCGCAUACGAUCUAUGGAUGAAAGCGGGGGAUCGCAAGACCUCGCGCGAUUGGAGCGGCCGAUAUCAGAUUAGGUAGUUGGUGGGGUAAAGGCCCACCAAGCCAACGAUCUGUAGCUGGUCUGAGAGGACGACCAGCCCCACUGGAACUGAGAAACGGUCCAGACUGCUACGGGAGGCAGCAGUGGGGAAUUUUGGACAAUGGGCGAAAGCCUGAUCCAGCCAAUCCGCGUGCAGGAUGAAGGGCCUCGGGUUGUAAACUGCUUUUGUAAAGAAAGAAAAGGUUUCUACUAAUACUAGGAGCUCAUGACGGUACUGUAAGAAUAAGCACCGGCUAACUACGUGCCAGCCGCCGCGGUAA
Molecule: ribosomal RNA, 500 nt
Filed under: uncultured bacterium
Lineage: Bacteria
Description: partial 16S ribosomal RNA
Rfam family: Bacterial small subunit ribosomal RNA
Source: RNAcentral